RNAcentral lists this ribosomal RNA (440 nucleotides) under uncultured bacterium. RNAcentral's name for it is "partial 16S ribosomal RNA". It matches the Rfam family "Bacterial small subunit ribosomal RNA", at positions 338 to 795 of the family's 1533-position model. The record is from RNAcentral.
CCUACGGGAGGCAGCAGUGAGGAAUAUUGCACAAUGGGGAAAACCCUGAUGCAGCGACGCCGCGUGAGUGAAGAAGUAUUUCGGUAUGUAAAGCUCUAUCAGCAGGGGAGAAAAUGACGGUACCUGAUUCAGAAGCCCCGGCUAACUACGUGCCAGCAGCCGCGGUAAUACGUAGGGGGCAAGCGUUAUCCGGAUUUACUGGGUGUAAAGGGAGCGUAGACGGCAGCGCAAGUCUGAAGUGAAAUGCCGGGGCUUAACCCCGGAACUGCUUUGGAAACUGUGCAGCUAGAGUGCAGGAGAGGUAAGUGGAAUUCCUAGUGUAGCGGUGAAAUGCGUAGAUAUUAGGAGGAACACCAGUGGCGAAGGCGGCUUACUGGACUGUAACUGACGUUGAGGCUCGAAAGCGUGGGGAGCAAACAGGAUUAGAUACCCUGGUAGUC